UACGCCUGCGGAGCUUUCAGGGCCGCCGGGCUCGCCGCCGCCUCUCCCCCAGCCAUGAAUCCCGCCGAAGGGGCGGCGGAGGAAGGCGCUGUCCCUGACUCCGAGGUGGAUGCUUUCUUCCGAACAGGUUCUUUUCGAAAUGAUGGUUUAAAAGCUGCUGAUGUCCUUCCUAUACUGAAGGAGAAAGUGGCCUUUGUGUCAGGUGGCCGUGAUAAACGAGGUGGUCCGGUCUUGACCUUCCCAGCCCGCAGCAAUCAUGACAGAAUAAGGCAGGAAGACCUUCGUAAACUUGUGACUUAUUUGGCCAGCGUGCCAAGUGAAGAUGUUUGCAAGCGAGGAUUCACUGUUAUUAUCGAUAUGCGGGGAUCCAAAUGGGAUUUGAUCAAGCCUCUCCUAAAAACCCUUCAAGAAGCCUUUCCUGCUGAGAUUCAUGUUGCCCUGAUUAUAAAACCUGAUAAUUUUUGGCAGAAGCAGAAAACAAACUUCGGCAGUUCCAAGUUCAUCUUUGAGACAAGUAUGGUGUCUGUGGAAGGCCUGGCAAAGCUCGUGGAUCCCUCUCAACUGACAGAUGAGUUUGAAGGGUCCUUGGAUUACAACCACGAUGAAUGGAUAGAGCUGCGUGUCUCCUUGGAAGAGUUUUUCAACAGUGCCAUCCAUCUAUUAUCGAGGCUGGAGGAUCUCCAGGAAAUGUUGGCUAGGAAAGAGUUUCCAGUAGACGUUGAGGGCUCAAGAAGGCUGAUUGAUGAGCACACACAGCUUAAGAAAAAAGUGAUUAAAGCUCCUGUGGAAGAACUGGAUCGUGAGGGCCAGAGGUUAUUACAAUGCAUAAGAUCCAGUGAUGGUUUCUCUGGUAGGAACUGCAUUCCUGGAAGUGCAGAUUUUCAAAGUCUUGUGCCAAAGAUCACCAGCCUUUUAGACAAGCUGCAUUCUACCCGGCAACACUUGCAUCAGAUGUGGCAUGUCCGCAAGUUGAAACUGGACCAGUGCUUUCAACUCCGGCUUUUUGAGCAAGAUGCAGAGAAGAUGUUCGACUGGAUCAGCCACAACAAGGAGUUGUUCCUGCAGAGCCACACAGAGAUCGGUGUGAGCUACCAACACGCCCUGGACCUGCAAACACAGCACAACCACUUUGCCAUGAAUUCCAUGAAUGCCUAUGUCAACAUCAAUCGAAUCAUGUCUGUGGCGUCAAGGCUCUCUGAGGCAGGCCACUAUGCUUCCCAGCAAAUCAAACAAAUUUCCAGCCAGCUGGAUCAGGAGUGGAAGAGCUUUGCUGCAGCUCUGGAUGAGCGCAGCACCAUCUUAGCCAUGUCUGCUGUCUUCCACCAGAAAGCUGAGCAGUUCCUUUCAGGUGUGGAUGCCUGGUGCAAGAUGUGCAGUGAUGGAGGCCUCCCCUCAGAAAUGCAAGACCUGGAACUGGCCAUCCACCACCACCAGACCCUCUACGAGCAAGUGACCCAGGCCUACACGGAGGUGAGCCAGGAUGGAAAAGCAUUGCUGGAUGUCCUACAGCGUCCCUUGAGUCCUGGGAAUUCUGAAUCCCUCACUGCUACUGCAAACUACUCCAAGGCUGUUCACCAGGUGCUGGAUGUGGUACACGAGGUCCUGCAUCACCAGCGGCGCCUAGAAAGCAUCUGGCAACACAGAAAGGUCCGGCUACAUCAAAGGCUGCAGCUCUGUGUUUUCCAGCAGGAUGUUCAACAGGUCCUGGACUGGAUUGAAAACCACGGGGAAGCGUUUCUGAGCAAACACACAGGAGUGGGGAAGUCUCUACACAGAGCACGAGCACUGCAGAAGAGACAUGAUGAUUUUGAGGAGGUAGCACAGAAUACAUACACCAAUGCAGACAAGCUCUUGGAGGCUGCAGAGCAGUUGGCUCAGACUGGGGAAUGUGACCCUGAAGAGAUCUAUAAAGCAGCCCGGCAUCUGGAAGUUCGGAUUCAGGACUUUGUCCGGAGGGUGGAACAGAGGAAACUUCUGUUGGACAUGUCAGUCUCCUUCCAUACCCACACCAAAGAGCUGUGGACAUGGAUGGAAGAUCUGCAGAAGGAGCUCUUAGAGGAUGUCUGUGCUGACUCUGUGGAUGCGGUACAGGAGCUUAUCAAGCAGUUUCAGCAGCAGCAAACAGCCACCCUGGAUGCCACCCUCAAUGUUAUUAAAGAAGGGGAAGAUCUAAUCCAGCAGCUCAGGGACUCUGCUGUUUCCAACAACAAGACCCCCCACAACAGCUCCAUCAGCCACAUCGAGUCCGUCCUUCAGCAGCUCGACGAGGCCCAGGUACAGAUGGAAGAGCUCUUCCAUGAGAGGAAGAUUAAGCUAGACAUUUUCCUUCAGCUCCGCAUUUUUGAGCAGUACACCAUCGAGGUUACAGCAGAGCUGGAUGCUUGGAAUGAAGAUCUGCUGAGGCAAAUGAAUGAUUUCAACACAGAGGAUCUCACUCUGGCUGAGCAGCGAUUGCAGCGUCACACCGAGCGGAAACUGGCCAUGAACAACAUGACCUUUGAAGUCAUCCAGCAAGGGCAAGACUUGCACCAGUACAUCAUGGAGGUCCAGGCUUCAGGCAUUGAGCUGAUCUGUGAAAAAGACAUUGAUCUUGCAACCCAGGUUCAAGAACUGCUGGAAUUCCUUCACGAGAAGCAGCAUGAGCUGGAGCUGAAUGCUGACCAAACUCACAAGAGGUUGGAGCAGUGCCUGCAGCUCCGGCACCUCCAGGCUGAGGUCAAGCAGGUGCUUGGCUGGAUCAGGAACGGGGAGUCGAUGCUCAACGCCAGCCUGGUCAAUGCCAGCUCCCUGUCGGAGGCUGAGCAGCUCCAGAGGGAGCACGAGCAGUUCCAGCUGGCCAUAGAGUCCCUCUUUCAUGCCACUUCCUUACAGAAGACACACCAGAGUGCCCUGCAGGUCCAGCAGAAGGCCGAGGUGUUGCUGCAGGCUGGACAUUAUGAUGCUGAUGCCAUCAGAGAAUGUGCUGAGAAGGUGGCCCUGCACUGGCAGCAGCUGAUGCUGAAGAUGGAGGACAGGCUCAAACUCGUCAAUGCCUCCGUGGCCUUUUAUAAAACCUCUGAGCAGGUGUGCAGUGUUUUAGAGAGCCUGGAGCAGGAAUACAGACGGGACGAAGACUGGUGUGGAGGCAGAGAUAAACUUGGGCCAGCAGCUGAGAUAGACCAUGUCAUCCCUCUGAUCAGCAAACAUCUGGAACAGAAGGAGGCUUUUCUCAAGGCCUGCACCCUGGCGCGGAGGAACGCCGAGGUGUUCCUCAAGUACAUCCACAGGAACAACGUCAGCAUGCCCGGCGUGGCCAGCCACACCAGAGGGCCCGAGCAGCAGGUCAAAGCCAUUCUGAGUGAGCUGCUGCAGAGGGAGAAUCGGGUCCUUCACUUCUGGACCCUGAAGAAGAGGAGAUUAGAUCAGUGCCAGCAGUAUGUUGUCUUUGAGCGCAGUGCCAAGCAGGCCUUAGACUGGAUCCAAGAAACAGGAGAAUAUUACCUCUCUACUCACAACUCCACAGGGGAAUCAGCAGAAGAAACUCAGGAACUCCUGAAGGAAUAUGGGGAAUUCAGAGUACCUGCCAAACAAACAAAGGAGAAAGUGAAGCUCCUCAUCCAGCUGGCUGACAGCUUUGUAGAAAAAGGACACAUACACGCCACAGAAAUCAGGAAGUGGGUCACCACCGUAGACAAGCGCUACCGGGACUUCUCUCUCAGGAUGGGGAAAUACCGUUACUCCCUGGAAAAAGCCCUUGGAAUCAACCCAGAGGAUAACAAAGACCUAGAGCUAGAUAUCAUUCCAGCAAGUCUUUCAGACCGGGAGGUAAAGCUGCGAGAUGCAAAUCAUGAAGUCAAUGAAGAAAAAAGGAAGUCAGCCAGAAAGAAAGAAUUCAUUAUGGCUGAGCUGCUGCAGACAGAAAAAGCUUAUGUCAGGGAUUUACAUGAAUGUUUAGAGACUUACCUUUGGGAAAUGACAAGUGGAGUAGAAGAAAUACCAGCUGGGAUCCUUAAUAAAGAACACAUCAUCUUUGGCAAUAUUCAGGAGAUAUAUGACUUCCAUAACAACAUUUUUCUAAAGGAGCUGGAGAAAUAUGAACAACUGCCUGAGGAUGUGGGCCACUGCUUUGUCACCUGGGCAGAUAAAUUUCAGAUGUAUGUCACCUACUGCAAAAACAAACCUGACUCCAGCCAGCUCAUCCUGGAACAUGCAGGGACUUUCUUUGAUGAAAUCCAGCAAAGACAUGGGCUGGCCAACUCCAUCUCUUCUUAUUUAAUCAAGCCUGUGCAGAGGAUCACAAAAUACCAACUCCUGCUGAAGGAACUGCUGACCUGCUGUGAGGAGGGCAAAGGGGAGCUGAAGGACGGUCUGGAAGUGAUGCUCAGUGUCCCAAAGAAGGCCAACGAUGCCAUGCACGUCAGCAUGCUGGAAGGGUUUGAUGAGAACCUUGAUGUCCAGGGAGAGCUGAUUCUUCAGGAUUCCUUCCAAGUGUGGGAUCCCAAGUCUCUCAUUCGGAAGGGCCGUGAGAGGCAUUUGUUUCUCUUUGAAAUCUCUUUGGUGUUUAGCAAAGAGAUCAAAGAUUCUUCAGGACACACAAAAUAUGUUUACAAGAACAAGUUACUGACCUCAGAACUGGGAGUGACUGAACACGUUGAAGGAGAUCCCUGCAAAUUUGCUUUGUGGUCUGGACGAACACCAUCCUCAGACAAUAAAACAGUGCUGAAAGCAUCCAGCAUUGAAACGAAACAGGAAUGGAUCAAAAAUAUCCGGGAAGUUAUUCAAGAAAGGAUCAUUCAUCUGAAAGGAGCUCUGAAAGAGCCCAUUCAGCUCCCCAAGACACCAGCAAAGCAGAGAAACAACAGCAGAAGAGAUGGAAUAGAUGAUGCAGACAGCCAAGGGGAUGGCAGCAGUCAACCUGACACCAUUUCCAUUGCCUCCAGGACAUCACAGAACACAGUGGACAGUGAUAAGCAUUUCGUCUACGGCAGAGACACAGGACAGUUGUCUGGAGGGUGUGAACUAACUGUGGUGCUCCAGGACUUUACAGCGGGCCACAGCAGCGAGCUGAGCAUUCAGGUGGGGCAGACAGUGGAGCUGCUGGAGAGGCCCAGUGAGAGGCCAGGCUGGUGCUUGGUGAGGACCACGGAGAGGAGCCCACCACAGGAGGGUCUGGUGCCCAGCAGCGCUCUCUGCAUCUCCCAUUCCCGCAGCAGCGUGGAGAUGGAUUGCUUCUUCCCUUCAGGAAAAGACGCAUACUCGGUCUCUGCCAACGACAACGGGGGCAAGUCUGACUCCGUGGCCAACCUACAGCCUCAGCCAUCCCUCAACUCCAUCCAGAGCUCUCCGGGCCCCAAGCGCUCGACCAACACCCUGAAGAAAUGGUUGACCAGCCCCGUGCGCCGCCUGAACAGCGGCAAGACCGAGAGCCACAUCAAGAAGCAGAAGAAGGUGCGGGAUGGCAGGAAGAGCUUUGACCUCGGCUCGCCAAAGCCUGGAGAUGAAACCACUCCUCAGGGAGACAGCGCAGAUGAGAAGAGCAAGAAAGGUUGGGGAGAAGAUGAAGCAGAUGAAGAGUCUCACACUCCUCUUCCUCCUCCCAUGAAGAUUUUUGACAAUGAUCCAACCCAAGAUGAUAUGUCCUCUUCUUUGCUAGCUGCUCGACAGAGCUCCUCCGAUGUCCCAACUGCUGCGGAUCUUGUCAGUGCAAUAGAAAAGUUGGUCAAAACUAAGCUGACCCUUGAAGGAGGAUCUUACCGAGGAGGCUUAAAAGAUGCCACUGGCUGCUUGAAUGAAGGAAUGACACCUUCAACUCCCCCACGAAACCUUGAGGAGGAACAAAAAGCCAAAGCAAUGAGAGGCAGGAUGUUUGUCCUAAAUGAGCUGGUGCAGACUGAAAAAGACUACGUCAAAGACUUGGGAAUUGUUGUGGAGGGCUUCAUGAAGAGGAUGGAAGAAAAAGGAGUUUCUGAAGAUAUGAAAGGGAAGGACAAGAUUGUAUUUGGCAACAUUCACCAGAUCUAUGACUGGCACAAAGACUUUUUCCUGGGUGAACUGGAAAAAUGUCUUCAAGAACCUGAGCGUUUAGCACAGCUUUUUAUUAAGCAUGAGCGGCGAUUGCACAUGUACGUGGUGUAUUGCCAAAACAAGCCCCGCUCUGAGUAUAUCGUAGCUGAGUAUGAAACCUACUUUGAGGAGGUUCAGCAGGAAAUAAGCCAACGGCUGACCAUCAGUGACUUUUUGAUUAAACCCAUUCAAAGAAUAACUAAAUACCAGCUUCUUCUCAAGGACUUCCUGAGGUACAGUGAAAAAGCUGGUCUGGAGUGCUCCGAGAUAGAGAAAGCAGUGGAAUUAAUGUGCCUUGUACCAAAACGUUGCAAUGACAUGAUGAACCUGGGUCGCCUCCAAGGCUUUGAGGGCAAGCUGACAGCUCAAGGCAAGCUGCUGCAGCAGGACACCUUCUACGUGACAGAGCAGGAUUCCGGGGUGCAGUCCCGGCCCAAGGAGCGCAGGGUGUUUCUCUUUGAGCAAAUAGUUAUCUUCAGUGAGCUCCUUAGAAAAGGAUCUCUAACUCCAGGCUACAUGUUCAAGAAGAGCAUAAAGAUGAACUACCUUAUCAUUGAAGAAAAUGUGGACAAUGAUCCCUGCAAGUUUGCUCUAAUGAGCCGGGAAACAUCAGAGAGAGUCAUUUUGCAGGCAGCUAAUCCAGAAAUUAAACAAGCUUGGGUACAGGACAUCAACCAGGUCCUGGACACACAGCGUGAUUUCCUAAACGCGCUGCAGUCGCCCAUCGAGUACCAGCGCAAGGAGAACAGCUCGGCGGUGCUGCGGCCCCAGGCCGGCAGGGUCCCCCAGCCCAACACCAGGCCCCAUUCCUCUAUUCCAGUAGGCUCUGAGAAGCCUCUGAAGGCUACAAGCCGUAACCCAUCUCUCCCACCCCUGAAGAUAUCUACCUCCAAUGGCAGCACAGGGUAUGAGCACUCACAGCCCGGAGACAAGUAUGAACAAAGCAAGACUGAUUUGGGAGGGUGCAAUGGGACCUCUUCCAUGGUGGUGAUUAAAGAUUACUAUGCACUGAAGGAGGAUGAGAUCUGUGUGAAUCAAGGAGAGGUGGUUCAGAUCCUUGCUAUCAACCAGCAGAACAUGUUCCUGGUGUACCAGCCUGCAAGCGACCACUCUCCAGCUGCUGAAGGAUGGAUCCCUGGCAGUAUCUUGGCUCCCCUCCCUAAAUCCACUACAGAUAAUAGCGAUGGAAGCAUCAAGAAGUCAUGUUCAUGGCAUACCCUGCGCAUGAGAAAGCGGGCGGAAAAGGAGAGCAGUGGCAAAAAUGAAGCCAAUGGGCCUCGUAAAUCCAAGGAUAUUCUGGGGAACAAAGUCUCUGUUAAAGAGACAAACAGCUCAGAGGAAUCAGAGUGUGAUGACCUUGACCCCAAUACUAGUAUGGAGAUAAUCAACCCCAAUUUCAUCCAAGAAGUGGCCCCAGAGUUUCUUGUGCCAUUAGUGGACAUCACCUGCCUGCUUGGGGACACAGUGAUGCUGCAGUGCAAAGUCUGUGGGAGACCCAAACCAACUAUAACCUGGAAGGGACCAGACCAAAACAUUCUUGACACUGACAACAGCACAGCCACUUACACCGUGUCAUCCUGUGACUCAGGAGAGCUCACCUUGAAGAUCUGCAACCUGAUGCCCCAGGACAGCGGCAUCUACACCUGUGUGGCCACCAAUGAGCAUGGAACUGCAUCAACCUCUGCAACCAUCAAAGUCCAAGGUGUGCCAGCAGCCCCAAACCGCCCCAUUGCUCAGGAGAGAAGCUGCACCUCUGUGAUCCUGCGCUGGCUGCCCCCAACCAGCACAGGCAAUUGCACCAUUUCAGGCUACACUGUGGAGUACAGAGAAGAAGGCUCGCAGGUCUGGCAGCAGUCGGUAGCCUCAACCCUGGACACGUACCUGGUCAUCGAGGACCUGUCCCCAGGCUGCCAGUACCAGUUCCGAGUGAGUGCCAGCAACCCCUGGGGGAUCAGCCUGCCCAGCGAGCCCUCCGAGUUCGUGCGGCUCCCGGAGUACGACUCUGCUGCUGAUGGUGCCACUAUUUCAUGGAAGGAAAACUUUGACCUUGCCUAUGCAGAGCUGCAUGAGAUUGGGAGGGGUCGAUUCUCCAUAGUAAAGAAAUGUGUCCACAAAGCCACCCGGAAAGAUGUUGCUGUAAAAUUCAUUAGUAAAAAAAUGAAAAAGAAAGAGCAGGCAGCACAUGAAGCAGCUUUGUUACAACACUUACAGCAUCCUCAGUACAUCACUAUCCACGAUACCUACGAGUCUCCUACUUCUUACAUCUUAGUUUUGGAGCUGAUGGAUGACGGCCGUCUCUUGGAUUAUCUGAUGAACCACGAUGAGCUUAUGGAGGAGAAGGUGGCCUUCUACAUAAGAGACACCAUGGAAGCCUUGCAGUACCUCCACAACUGCAGAGUGGCUCACUUGGACAUAAAGCCAGAAAAUCUGCUCAUCGAUUUGAGAAUCCCAGUGCCUCGAGUCAAGAUCAUUGAUUUGGAAGAUGCAGUUCAGAUCACAGGUCAUUACCAUGUCCACCACCUCCUUGGAAACCCGGAGUUCGCAGCCCCUGAAGUUAUCCAAGGCCUUCCAGUCUCCCUGAGCACGGAUAUCUGGAGCAUUGGGGUCCUCACCUACGUCAUGUUAAGCGGUGUCUCUCCGUUCCUGGAUGAAAGCAAAGAGGAGACUUGCAUCAAUGUGUGUAGAGUAGAUUUCAGCUUCCCACACGAGUACUUCUCCGAUGUGAGCCACGCCGCCAGGGAUUUCAUCAACGUUAUCCUGCAGGAAGACUUCAGGAGAAGGCCGACAGCAGCCACUUGUUUACAGCAUCCGUGGCUGCAGCCGCACAAUGGCAGCUAUUCCAAGAUCCCACUGGACACCUCCCGCCUGGCGUCCUUCAUCGAGCGCCGCCGGCACCAGUACGACGUGCUCCCGGUGCCCAGCGUCAAGAGCUUCCUGCUGAGCAGGAUGAGCCCGGGCACGUAGUGCCUCCAUCCACGGCCCCUGCGCUGCUGCUCCUGAGCCUGGGCCGGGAGCGCCGCCGGCAGCGCACGGAUCCCUCUGUACAUAUCCCAUAUCAAUGCCUGCCUUUCACCAGCUGCAGGGUGGGAAUCACUGCAGACGUGGCAAUGGCACCAAGGCCAAGGGGGUGACAGCAGCAGGGACACGCUCCCUCUCUUGGGGCACGUGAGGGACGCAUCCACUGCCAAAAAAGGACUGCAGGAAGCAAACACCAACUGGGAAUGAGAGCCAAAAUUGCAGUUGCCUUAAUCUUUGUGAGGCAGCCUUAUAAGAAAUCCUCUUGAUCUUGCUGAACUGAAUUCAAAAUGUACAAAAGACUAGAAGUAGGAUAGUGGGAGGGAGUGAGACCAGGCUGACCUUAGCACGUACUGCAGAACUGGACCGGUCAGUUUUUGCUGAAAUAAUUGCAAGCCUGCUCCAGGUUAUCAGUCAGACUUCUCAUGCCCCAUCUGCCCAUGUCUGCCAUGAUUUCAGUGGGGACCUUGCCUGCAUAGGACAUGCAGGAUCAGGCUCCAGUCACUGCUGGAUCAGCUCCCAUGGUGGCAUGGCUUAGGAACACUCGUGUUGCGUGGUAGUGCUCAGACCAAAAUCCUCCAUGAAGCCCCUCCUUGGGCUUUCUGCCGUGUGAAGUCAACGUGCAGCACCUUUCAGAGCUAUGAUUAAGGCAAUGAAUUCACUGGAGCAUACAGCUGGUUCUGAUCAAGCACAAUGGGACUAUGCUUCAGAAUUGCUUGGCCCAAAGUCCAUCUAAGCCUUUCAGAGUGCAGUAGGAGUGGUGAGUUCAUUCUUGUGCUUACAGCUUGAAAAUCGUUUUCAGUGUUUAAAGCAUGUCAUUUGUUUCAUUUCCAAACUUGUAAAUAUCUCUCAGCCACCAUUAACACCUCAUAACCAAAGCAUUCAUGAGGAUAUUUUUAUGUCCAAAGCCUAAUUUGUAAUAAAAAAAUAAUAUUCACAAUUAAAACAUUUCUCUCUUGCAAGCCAAGUUGCAACAUCAUCAUAUUGAUGUUACAGUGACAGAGCCAGCCUUAAGUAUAACCAACAUAGGGAGUCUGCAGUGACAAAUCAGCAGUUUGUAGGUUGGCCAAAUCUUCCUUUCUAGAAGUGGGACUGGAAGGGGAAACCAUCUGAGGCUUCCCCAUCCUACUGCCACACCACAAAGCUCUACAGCCUUGUGGGGUUACAGUCAAAGAGAUUUUUCCCCCUGGCAUGUGGGGACUUUGUCUCGGUGCUGAGUACCAUUUGUGUGUCUGUAAUGGGAAAUGGCAGUUGUUACCAAAGGUUUUCCUAAGGAAAAGGGCUUGAUCUGACCACGUGUGCUCAUACAGACUCUCUAGCAAGGGAGAGAGUCAAAUCUCAUUGACCAUCUGAGUAACUGCACUGUGAGCCUGCAGGAGCAAGCGCUGUCUCUGCCAGUGGGGGGUGGAGAUACCCUGCAAGUACUGUUAAAUUCUCAGGGCUCUGACAGCCCUUUUUUGAUCCACCUCCAAGCUCCCUUUCACAGCAGGGAGGAGACCUGGCCCUUCUCUUUGUGCUUGCUCUGUCACUACACCAGAGUGGUCAGUAUUUUGUUAGUGGAGAAGAGGCACAGCAAGAACCCUCAGUGCUCGACACUGAGUGUGUGCAACAAAGAACAGCCCUUGAGGUGGGGAAGCCACAGGCAGAAAGGUGAGCCCAGGUGCCUCAGCAGAGUCAGCAGCAGUUCUGUGAGAGAUCUGAUACAGGGAGGGAGUGUGGAAAGGUUUGAAAGAGACAAGUGUUCACAGAAGGGUAAGCUUUUUGAAAAUCAUCCAGAACCUAUCUCAGUUCCUCUCUAGAGCAGCACCUGAUUUUCUAAGCAAUCCAGCAGCACCUCUUAAGUAAAGACCAGACUCUCAUCCUGAGCAACAGUGCAAAGUAUGCAAUUUCUUAGCAACUGAAUACAGACAGCAGUCAAGGGGGUCUCCAAUUACCACCAGCCUCAGGUACUUUCUCACUACAGGACUGUCUGUAAUUCUUCCUAUUUGUUAAAGCUGGCUCUUUGUGCUGUGAUUGUGCUGCCCUUAAAAAAAUGUUUGUGGAAGUGUGGUCUGUAAAACGCACAGUUUUUAUUAUGCCCAUGGGUACAGUUUGAACCACAGGCUUUCUGCUUGGCAUUAAUACAAACAAAUUCUCGUGUAUCACAUGAAAUUUGGAGUUAUUUAGCAUUUUGUUUUCCUACAUCCUGCAUUCAUAUGUCAAACUACAACAGCAGACCCUUUGAAUGCACAGGGGGAAAAAGCUGGACUGUUUAAGGUAAUAUUUAAGCCUCUCAUUGCUAUCAAAUAACAGAAAAGAAAACCCAAAAGGCUGAAAGAGAGAUGAUAUAUGAUUAGGAAAUGGUGCUCAAAUUCAAAAAAGACUCCUUGUUGAGAGAGCCGGAGGUGCUGAAUUCUGAUGAUGUUGAAUGUUCUGGAGUUACUUUCUUUUGUGGUUUUGCUUUUUCCAUAUUCAUGUUAGAACACCUCUUCCUGGACACCAUUCUUCUUACAGCCUAUUCAGGAAUACUUGAACCAUUAAAACUUCCAUAAAACAUUUGUGAUUACCAGCCCUUCUUGCUUUUGCCUGAAUAAUACCAAUUUGACAUGUAAUAUUGCCAUUUGAUAAAUGCAGAGAACUAUCCUGACUUUGCUCUUUCAAAGUAUUUUUCAGCCAACCUGUGGUGCCUCUGCAGAUACAACAGGUCCUGUAACUCUGUUGAAAACUGUAACUCCAUUGCAAAGAGAUUACAGAAGCUGAGUAAGUAGGCCUGGAGUGCCCCUGCUGAGUGAGAAGCCCCACAGCCAACCCCCUGUGUAGCAUUCUCCAGUGACUGGGUUUUUUGGUGCAUGAAAUACUGUCUGUAACAAGCACAGUUUCUCAGCGAAGCUCCCCAGAGAAUAUCUGACCCCAAGGGGAAGAUUUCCACCUGCAGCUGUGUACCACUCAGGGUGCUCCCAAGAUGGCUUGAAAGUGUGGUGGUAGCUGCACCCUUUAGCUUCUCCAGCAGUCUCCAACCAUCCAGGAUGAGCAGCAGGAAUGCUGACAGCAGUGCACCACAAGCUCUGUGUGGAGUGGCACUGUGCACACAGCCACUGCCAUCAGACACCUCCACAGUGCUCUUACCCUGCUCUGACAGCAGUGUGGCUCACAGUGUCCCCAGGUGCUGGGUGACACUGGGGCAGCAGCAAUGGUGCUGGUGACACCACAGAGCCCAGAGGACAUGGCGACAUGGGGGGCUCCUUAUUUAAGAUGGCUUCUUUUAAUGAGUGUGCAAUGAGCAAUUAACUCACCUCCCUCUCUGCUGCACUUGGAGGAAUUCUGCUGGCCACUGUAAACUGCCAGCCCCCAUCAGGUGUGGCUGCCCCGGGGGAGGCCCCAGGUACCCCCAGGCUGCCAAGCCCCCGUGCAUGGCACUGCUGGGGUGACACACAGCCAGCCCAGGGCUGUAACUUCAGUAUUUCAAAGCAUUCCAGGCUUUAAAAUUUAUAAUAUGUCUCUCUCUUCUCAGUGAUGCCAACAAGUUUCAUUUAAGUCUUACUGCCUUUUCUGUUUGAAAGACUAUGGAUUGGGUUUUUUCAGUGACAUGUAUCUUUUUACUUCUAAGUUAAUGCUGAGACAAAGUCUGUGCCCUCAACUGACCCUGAGGCUGUGGCUUCAGUGGAGUUCAUUGGCAUUUCUGACAAUGCAUUAGGCCUGUGCUACAGAUACUGUGCAUAAAGGCUUAAUGCAGAACCACACAUUAUAACCUGACUAUAUAUAGCCCUAUUUUAAUGCCCUUGCCAUGAGGGGACUGUGUCAAAUAACCUAGGAUAAUAUAAAUUUCAGAGACAGAUGUAAAGGCUUCUCUGUGCACAUAAAGGUCUAGCAGAAAAUUUACAUGCACAGGGGCUCACCACCUUGUUUUGUUCUUUCUUUCCCAGCAGAGUUGGAUUCUCCUCUAACACAGGGCUUGGGGGUUUUUUUUGAGCUCAUUCACUCAUGUCCCAUCAGAAAAUGGUGCUUUCCCAAGGAAACAAAGUCAAAUCCCAUUUUACUAGGCUGACUGCACACUGCCAUCAAGUGAUGUACUCUCGUUCUGGGAUCUGUGUAGUGCUGAGUGUUUCCAUAGCGUCAGGAUGCUGAAUGUUUGCUGUAACUGUAGUCUUUAUUAUGGAGCUAGUGAAAACCAACAUCUUCUCUACUCAAGCCAUAUUUCACCUUCAUGUCCAACUUCUGAUGCUGGUGCUUUUACUUCUCUUUCUACCAAACUGUUCAACACUGCUCUGCCACUGAGGUCAAUUUGCUGAUAACUUUUGGAAAGCAAAUGCAAUAGCAAGUGCAAAAAAAAAAAAAAAAUCAAUCUCAGACUUAUUCACCGAGAUAAGAGCAAACAGUUGGAACGUAUUGAUGCUUUUCAAUCCUAGCAACAAUAUACUGAAGGAGGAAAAAAGAAACAGUAUUGCUAACAGCUCAGCAUUUUCAAGGUGCAAAGUAAUUCCACAGCCUUAAUUAUUUCAGUGUAUUGCUGGUCUGCCUUAAAUGUAUCUUCAGUUUUAUUGCGGAUUUCAUUUUGUAUGCACACAAUGUCGGUUUGUAAAGGCAGGUUUGUAAAUAUUUCCUUUGUAAGUCUAAUCACUCAUGUGUACUGUUGUGAGGUGACUACUUGCUGUCCCAUGUUGUUGUUACUAUUCUGCAGUAUAUAUAUGAUCAUCUACAGAUGUAGCUUCAACCUGUACAUCUCCUGUCCUUGCAUUCCCAUAAAUAGAGUAUACUCAAGACUCCGUUUCUGGGCUUUUUUGAUUAAAUAAAAUUAUUCAGAGAA
Zonotrichia leucophrys gambelii is the source of this 13840-nucleotide RNA transcript. It is a transcript of the gene named kalirin RhoGEF kinase, with no coding region annotated. The record is from RefSeq and is a predicted model, not a curated record. Lineage: Eukaryota; Metazoa; Chordata; Aves; Passeriformes; Passerellidae. The transcript has 63 exons.